Capsicum annuum is the source of this 1625-nucleotide long non-coding RNA. RefSeq lists it as uncharacterized. The transcript has 3 exons. The record is from RefSeq and is a predicted model, not a curated record. Lineage: Eukaryota; Viridiplantae; Streptophyta; Magnoliopsida; Solanales; Solanaceae.
CGUGCAUUAGCGAAACAAUAUGUUAAUUUCUAGUUUUGAUCAACUUCCUAUUACAUAGUUGAAAGUAUAGAUCAACCUUCAGGGUAAUUUGAUAGUUUAGUCUAUUAAAUCCUCUCGAUAUUCUUGCUGUUUAUUUCUUUAGUACCAUAAUGUCCAUAGUGAAUUUGACAUUGACUCCAUAACUGAUAGUUCUUAUGCCUGAUUCCAUUCUGUAUUUGCUUGAAAAUUCUUACGAGUCCUUCCAUAAUGUCUUUGGUGAAUUUACAUUCACCCCAUAACUUUUGGUAACAAUCGUACCUCAACUUCAUUUCGCAUGAAACAAACACGCACACAGUCGCAACACACACACACACACGUGCAUCAUUGGAUUCUGCAGCCAUUUGCAUUCUCUUCGCUUAAGGCACUGUAAUAGCAGUGAGGCAUAGGCGAUGAUGAUGGUGGUGGCCCCUGAUACUAAUCAGAUGACAAAGGAGGGGCAUUCACCGUUUCCAAUAUUGAGAUACAAAUCUUAAUACGUCUGAUUUUACUGAGUACAGCUUAUACAACGCAUAUUCCAGUGAGGUUCUUACUUCUCUCAUUACAUGUUCUUUUCCUGCUUGAUGGGGCUUCAUAAAUUUGAAGAAUAUCAGUGAGGUGCUCCUAUAGGCACAACUCCGCCUCUGUGAGCUCGCUCACAUAGCCGGACCCAAGCCCGGAAAAAGGAGGAGGGUUGCCGUCGGUUGGCAGCCAACGUAAAACUUUCCAAUUCAUGAGGAGUCCUCAUAAUAAAAUAAUCGGAAAUGAAGACUUGAAGAUUCAUAUAGCCGAUUCCAACUUGUUUGGGAUUGAGGCGUACUUGUUGUUAUAUGCACAAUAUUGAAUGGAGAAGUUGUACAAUUCAGGACCAGCUUAACUAAAGACUCAUUAGUCUUGUAGAAUUUUCUGAUCACUCAAGUUUAGUUUCGCUGUUAUUUAUUGUUGUCAAGUCUGUUGAAAAUUUUAUGUCUGAGAAUAUAUAGGGCUUUGAUCUGCCGGGGAAAAUUCACAAGGUGCUUUGAAGUUGAACUAAACUACGUGAAUUGAAGGACGGAUACUAUGUCGUUGUCAUGGACCCUGCUAAAGCAGUAGAGACGGCAGACGAGAAUAUGAUGCAAGUUGCUGCAAUCCUUGGUUCCAUCCUGGAGCAUGCAGCGAAUUUUGAUAAAAGUAAUUACAAUGAUCGCGCUAAUCAUCUAGCGCAUCCUGGUUAGUGAUUGACAUCCAUGCUGUGAAACCUAAAGGUUGAUUGAGAAGGCGCUGAAAACUUAAAGACGCCCAAUAUUCAGUGAACGAGCUCUCCCGAGGGCUAGCGAAGCUCAUGGUAUAAAUCUUCUGAGGUGAUGGGCAUUGACAGCUAUGAUGACGAUUGUGGAGAUGGUGGUGCCUGAAAAUGCUCAAAAGGCAACGGAGGAGCUGAUGGAAUAGCAUGUUGAAAACUAGUAUUACCACUGUGACGGCAACAUCCAUGAUGACUAUGACUAUGACGAUUUAUAUCAGCAUGAUCACCACAACACGACGAAGAAGCCCCACAAAAUCCACCACCAUUCGCAGGACUAAUAUAAUACACACACUGGACUUUGAAUUCAACAAAUUCCCUACACGGUAUG